RNAcentral lists this ribosomal RNA (468 nucleotides) under uncultured bacterium. RNAcentral's name for it is "partial 16S ribosomal RNA". It matches the Rfam family "Bacterial small subunit ribosomal RNA", at positions 28 to 507 of the family's 1533-position model. The record is from RNAcentral.
GACGAACGCUGGCGGCGCGCCUAACACAUGCAAGUCGAACGGAGUCAAGAGGAGCUUGCUUUUCUUGACUUAGUGGCGAAUGGGUGAGUAACGCGUGAGUAACCUGCCCUGGAGUGGGGGACAACAGUUGGAAACGACUGCUAAUACCGCAUAAGCCCACGGAUCUGCAUGGAUCUGCGGGAAAAGGAUUUAUUCGCUCUAGGAUGGACUCGCGUCCAAUUAGCUAGUUGGUGAGGUAACGGCCCACCAAGGCGACGAUUGGUAGCCGGACUGAGAGGUUGAACGGCCACAUUGGGACUGAGACACGGCCCAGACUCCUACGGGAGGCAGCAGUGGGGGAUAUUGCACAAUGGGGGAAACCCUGAUGCAGCGACGCCGCGUGGAGGAAGAAGGUUUUCGGAUUGUAAACUCCUGUCGUUAGGGACGAUAAUGACGGUACCUAACAAGAAAGCACCAGCUAACUACGUG